Cucurbita pepo subsp. pepo (vegetable marrow) is the source of this 2484-nucleotide non-coding RNA. NCBI's taxonomy places the organism in Eukaryota, Viridiplantae, Streptophyta, Magnoliopsida, Cucurbitales, Cucurbitaceae. The record is from RefSeq and is a predicted model, not a curated record.
CGCUGCCAUUGCGACCACUCACUCCGAUUUCCACCAUUACCGUCGCUCAAUCCUCCGCCAGAAGGUUAGCGUUUCGUUUUUUCCGAUCAUCAACUCAGAUUCAAUUCACAGCUUCUUCAAGGGGUUUCUUUCUCGCUCUCUGUUCCGCCCUGCUUUCGUUUGGUUUUCUUUUAAUUUGCUACUGUAAUUCGAGCUCAAAUUGCACUCAAAUUGAUGCGGUGGAAACCUUAAUGUUCUGGUUUCUUUUUUAGAAAUUUUAGGUGACGGACUCGAUGAUUCUUCUGUGUCUCGCUUUACGAGUUGCGAAACCUUGGCGUUGAAGUUCGUAGGUUAUUUUAAAUUUUAGUUUGAAUUUGGUGCUUUGAAUUAGAAGUACAAAAUGAGUAUAUAUCGUUCGCUGGUAACAUUUUUCUUUAUGCUUCCUCGUAUUACUUGCAACCACCAGAAUUCUACUUUGUUUUGAUAGCCGCUAAGUUUCGGGACCUAAGGUUGUUCUAAUCAAUUGAGCUGGACCUUACGAGUGACAGAUGAAGACGAAAUGGAAGAUGGAUCUUUUAGGCAAUCAAGGAAUUGGAAGAACGAUUGUUAAAAAAUCAUCACUAGGACAUAGGAUCAAGCCCAAUAUAAUUGUACGAGCCAAUGCCUAUAUAUUUUAACAAUAAAUAUUUAGACAUUUUAGAAAUAAAUCUACAAGUUUUUCAUCCCAAGCGUAAUAUCUACAAUGUUGUGUUCAACAACCAUUCGAGGUUCUUGGAGAAAUGAAUGACCGUGUUUCAGCGAGGGAAUCAGAGCUCGUGCUUGUGUGCUUCUCUCAGGAAGGGAGAGAUUUAUGGUGUGCUCUUGAGGCUUUAGCUCUUCAAUCAUUGUUUACUAGCUUUGGAUGUCAUAUUUUGAAUCCUCAAUUUCUGAUCAUUGAGAGUGCUUACUUGAGACACCUUCUUUAAUCUACUCCUCUAGUUUACUCAUUUAGGUGGUUAGUAUCUUGAUCUUAUUGGAUUUUGAUUAUGAUCACUGUAUUGAGACCAAAUUUUUGUUGUGGUGACUUUCUUAAAUGUGAUGAAGGAUAUUUUCUGGCGUUGUGUUUGUGUAGUCACAAUUGAAGGGGUUCUGGAAGAACUGUGCAAGUUUUUAACAUAGAGCUAGAUGGGCGUCCACUUGGGACGAUGUAUGGUUAAGCUGCGUUCUAAUAUGGGUUGAUAGUGACUAUAGGGGUGCAGAGAAAAUGCUGCUGCAGACAUUCUGGAUUAAACCCAGAGGUAUACGGCUACCUCAUUGCCAUGAUUACUGUGGUUAAAGAGUUUAAUGAAAAAAGCUCUACACGAACUCGAAAGUUGUGCAAGAGAGGGGAUAGUGGCUGAACUCGAUAAAGACAACAUUGACCUUGUUGAGGGGUAUCAGGCAGAGAUUUUAGCUGAUGGUGUAUAUUAGACGAACACGACUCUCCACAAUGUGGACAGUUAUCCAAUUGGGUUCUUGAAGAUGUAGGCUCUUCAAUUCAUGGGGUGGUUCAUGAAAGACUCCUAAUGUAUGUUUGUGCUGAGCAAGGACUUGAGGCAGAGAGAUAGCUUUGGGAAAUGAAUCUUGUAGGCUCUCGUUUCUUCAGUGUCUCAAGGGUGAAGAAUCUGGUUUUCGCUGUGAAUCAAACGCUAGAUUGAAAAGGAAAAAAACAGUCUACUUUUUGUAGGUGGAUCGGGUCAAAUGAGAACCAGAAUAAGACAACCAAAUAGAAAAAGGAGAAGAUCAAGUGAAUGGGCCGGCUGUUUAAAGAAAGAGUUUGUGAAGCCUUGCUCGUGAACUCCGGAAUGUUAUGUUUGACAGCACCUUGGAUGUGGCCUUCAGAAGACAACACAUGGUCUGUCCCUUCGUUGGACAUCCAGGUUUUACACCAUUCCAUUAUUACAAUACUCUGUUUAAUGCCAAUAAUUUCUGUGCCUAUAUGAUUGAUGCAAGACGUCUUUUCUUAUAAUGUCAGUAAAAGGAACCAACCCAUCCUUUUUAGUGUGUCGGUCGGGUUAAUAUAUAUAGAUUAGGCCUUAACUAACACCAAAACCAUACAUUGUGUUGAGGAGAACAAAAAAGUUGACGUCAAAAUUGAGUAUAUAUGUGGCUGAACUCAUCAAACCAACCCACCCCAUUACAGAUGAGUUCAAAUUAAACCGAACAGACUGAAGCUCUAAAAGUCUAUAUAAGUUGAAUUGCAAACAAUAAAAUCUACCCAAAAUGAUUUUUUUUUUAAUUUUCUCUGCUAAAGAUUCACAUGAUUGGCUGAGGCAGGCAUGGUACUGCCUAAUUGUUGUUUGUUGUGUAUAAUAUUAUUAUAUGGAAGUUCCCAUACAACACGCAGGAAAAUUCCUCCAAUAGAAUAUCCAUGUGUUUAUCUGUCCUGUUUCUGUCGCCACUCAGCUUCCAUUAUUCACAUCUUCAAACCAUUCGCUUCCCAUUCCCUUCCCCUUCUGCUUUGGCAUGUGCAGUGUGAAAGAGCUU